UGUUGUUGUUGAAUAUCAUGAUAACGAUGUUACUUGCAAUACAUAAACAGAUAUUGAAGUGUACUCACUUCUGCAUUUCUGCUGCUUUCAGUAUUCUGCUAAAAUACAA
Molecule: long non-coding RNA, 109 nt
Organism: Sander lucioperca (pikeperch)
Lineage: Eukaryota; Metazoa; Chordata; Actinopteri; Perciformes; Percidae
Exons: 3
Source: RefSeq, a predicted model, not a curated record